CCUCAUCAAGUAAACCGCCAGCAGUUUCUUCAGAUAAAUCGUCAUCCAAACCCAGUCUUAAAGGCAAAGCCAAAUGGGCAGACAUGGCGUCCUCAUCUUCGUCAACAUCAUCAUCUUCCCUUGUUUCAAGUAAAGAUAGCAAUGAUGAUAUUCUUCAAUCAAUAAUAGUAAAAAGUAAAACUGACAAAAAAGAAAAAGGAAAAUCAAAGUUAAAACAAAAAAGCAAAGUAAAAAGAAAAGAAAAGAAAAAGAAGGACACUUCGUCCUCAUCUGAUUAAAAG
Molecule: long non-coding RNA, 281 nt
Filed under: Jatropha curcas
Lineage: Eukaryota; Viridiplantae; Streptophyta; Magnoliopsida; Malpighiales; Euphorbiaceae
Description: long non-coding RNA (JCUR_LNC001993)
Source: RNAcentral